UACACCCACUGCUGCAGCUGCCCUGUCCUAACUCCCUGGGAUGCCUCUUCUCCAGGGAUCACGCUCCCUCCUGCCUCUCUCCCCUCUUCCCUACUAGUCGGCUAUAGAGGCUGGGGGUGACAGGACUGAGAAGAGCCAUGCCUGUGACAGCCACAAUCCGUUAACUCAAGGAGAUUGUUUCUUUCUGAAUGAGGCUUUGGAAUGCUUCGUUUUAUGUUAAUCAACGAUUCUUGGCUUCAUGAUUCUUGGCUUCACAUUAGGAGAACCUCUUCAGUUCAGUUCAAUUCAGUCGCUCAGUCGUGUCCGACUCUUUGCAAUCCCAUGAACUGCAGCGC
Molecule: long non-coding RNA, 335 nt
Organism: Bos taurus (domestic cattle)
Lineage: Eukaryota; Metazoa; Chordata; Mammalia; Artiodactyla; Bovidae
Source: Ensembl